UACGAAGGGUGCAAACGUUGCUCGGAAUUAUUGGGCGUAAAGCGCACGUAGGCGGCUUUGCAAGUCGGAUGUGAAAUCCCUCGGCUCAACCAAGGAAGUGCAUCCGAAACUGCAGAGCUUGAGUACUUAAGAGGAUCGCGGAAUUCCCGGUGUAGAGGUGAAAUUCGUAGAUAUUCGCAAGAACACCAGUGGCGAAGGCGGCUCACUGGCCCGAUACUGACGCUGAGGUGCGAAAGCGUGGGGAGCAAACAGG
RNAcentral lists this ribosomal RNA (253 nucleotides) under uncultured bacterium. RNAcentral's name for it is "partial 16S ribosomal RNA". It matches the Rfam family "Bacterial small subunit ribosomal RNA", at positions 524 to 776 of the family's 1533-position model. The record is from RNAcentral.